ACCAAAGCAGAGUCAAAGAAAGGUUUCAGGCUUUCCAGCUCCUGAUGUUUCAGAACAGAGCAUGAACUUUUCUUCUGAAAAAACAGGUCCCCCACCAGUAGCAGUGUCCAAAGAGUCCAAACAGACUGAUAUAGAACCACAUUCAAAACUGUCCAAAGAACCCAAAGAGACUGAUGCAGAACUGUCUCGAAACCUGUCCAAAGAACUCAAACAGACUGAUACAGAACCAUCUCCAAAGUUGUCCAUAGAACCCAAACAGACUGAGGGAGAAACACAUCCAAAACUUUCUGGAGAACUUGAACAGACUGAGCUGGAAUUACCUCCAAAACCUUUAGCAUUGGAUGAGAUAGUUGAUGUGUCACAAGAUCACCUUCUUGCUGUUGAGGCACAUCCUUUAGAAAAUGGUGGGAAAGUUGAGAACACUCCUGUGGUGAAUGAGGAGAUAAGCUGUAUGGAGGAUCAAACUACCAAGGAUAACAAGAGAACCAGGAGGAGGAAAUCUUUGCCAGCAAAGCAGGAAUGCUCAGAGAAUGUUUCACAUAACACUCCCACCUUGCCAAGCUAUAUGGCAGCAACUGAAUCUGCAAAGGCAAAGCUUAGAGCACAAGGAUCAC
RNAcentral lists this long non-coding RNA (614 nucleotides) under Vitis vinifera (wine grape). Its description in RNAcentral is "long non-coding RNA (VVIN_LNC004883)". Lineage: Eukaryota; Viridiplantae; Streptophyta; Magnoliopsida; Vitales; Vitaceae. The record is from RNAcentral.